RNAcentral lists this long non-coding RNA (6580 nucleotides) under Nicotiana tabacum (common tobacco). RNAcentral describes it as "long non-coding RNA (NTAB_LNC001694)". The record is from RNAcentral. Lineage: Eukaryota; Viridiplantae; Streptophyta; Magnoliopsida; Solanales; Solanaceae.
AAUUGGAAAACAAUAGAUUCAUUUUUGCUGCCCUAAAGGUCCUCUAUAAGAGGUCUGUUUUCAUUCUUGGUGAAGCAAAUUUUUUCAUAGAUUAAAAACCCUGAAAAGUUGAAACGGCUGAGUUGAAACAUACAUAAAAUCCUUUGCAUUUUUAGUGGAAAUUGGUCUAGUUCUGCUGUCAUUCUUCAGAGUUUGAAAUCUUUUCAAGAAUUCUGGUCAUUUUGGGUUCAAAAAAAUGGUUUAAAGAGACUGAGUUUGCUGUUUUUGCUGAGCUGAUUCUGCUGAUGCUGUUACUAACUCUUCAUUUUCCUUCUUUCUCUUCCAAUUUCCAGGUACUCUUUUGAACCAUGAGUGGGUAUGAAGUCUGAAUAUGUUGUUGCAUGAAAGACAUGUCUUCCUGAAGAUAUCAAUAAAAUCAUGUUGUUUUAGGGCCUUAUUUUUACAUCUCCUUUAGGCUAUUUAUUUCUGAUUCCAUCUUUCUUGUCCAUUUUAUCAUGUUUUAAGUUUGCUGUGAUGUGUUCCUGUUGUGAAUGGAUCUGUUCUGUAGUAUAUAUUCAAAAUCCGUGAUUAAGAAUGGCAAGUUUGCAUAGCAGUCUUAUUUAAAGUUGUAGUACAAUCAAUUCAGUGUUUAUUAUUCUUUGAAACAAUGAUCUGAACCUUUUGUAAUGUUUUUGAGGUUGGUUUGUUGUUGUGAAGGAUGAAUUCAGGCCCAUGCUGUGUGUAUUUUGGGGGAAAAUUUCAUGUUACUGCAUAAAUACUGUCUAAACUGAUCAUAUCAUAAAUCAAAUGUUGAUAUGGUUAGUAGAAUGUAUGCAUUUGGCAAUUAAUCAUUUGUUUAAAAAUAUUUGGAAGGGAGUUUAGUGUUUGGAAUGAGGCAAAGUUGAGCUUAUACUAAUAGAUGUAUUAUUUAUUUGGAAUCAUGCUUAGUUUUGUUGAUUUGAAUUCGUGAAUCCUAUUAGAUUUAAAUGAUGAGACAAUUGUGUAUGAGUUAUUAUGACAUUAAGUAAUGCAUUUUAUCAUAGAAUGCGACUGAGUAUCAAGAACAUGUUUUGCAUUGGUCUAGAUUUGUAAAAGUUUGACAAUAGUUGUUCUGAUUUCAAGUUCUUAAGAAAUCAAUUGUGCUUAAUUGACCAUGUUGUAUCAUGCUACUGGGCCUUUAGCGUUGGCCCAGUGCUCUUUUGCCACUCAAUUGUGGUUUAUGGACUUUACUCUAGCCCGACUCCCUUUUUGUUUUCGACAUGUAAGUUUACGAAAGCCAAUUGGGCCUGCUGCCAGUUGGGCCUUUCGCACAACCAAAUGCUAGUUUCGUUUUUUUGUUAGUCUAUUAGUUCUUAAGGCUUAAUUUAAUUGUUUGGCCUAGAAUGAAUUCAAAUUACGUUAAGUCUUUAACUAAUUAAUUAGAUCUUUGAUCAAGCUUGAGGUGAGCCAUAUUAGACAAGUUAUAAUUUAUGGCUCUCACAAAUACUAAUUGGACUUUAUUGAUAACUGUUCGUAGGAAAGCCUUUAGGACCAUUUAAAAAUACAAUCGUGAUUGUGUACACAUUCGCGUGACAUAAUUACGAUUCUAAAAACUAAUUCGGAGUAUGCGUUCGCGCAACUUCAAUUAAAUUCGUCUUGACAAUAAGAAAAGAGUUUUUCAUAGGCUAUUAAUUAAUAUAGUUCGAGGUGUGCCAUCCACCUUUUAUUUUACAUGGCCCUUGUAUUAAUUUCAUAAUUUGGAUCUAAUAAAUAACAAAUGAUAGUAGUUUGCUUUAGGCUCAAUUUAGAUUAGUAUUGCGAUUAUAUAUACGUUCGCUUAAUAUAAUUGCAAAUUAAAUUCUUAAAAGACUCGAGGUAUGUGUUCGCGCAACUUCAACCAAACUCUUCUUAAAUAAAUAAACAAAGUGUUAUUAAUUGUGGACACGUUCGCAUGACAUGAUUUUUGACGCGCCAAAGGAAAAGAGUAUCGUGUAACUCAAUUCUUUAAUUACGAAUAAAUCAAGUGAUUAAAAGCGGUUAAAAAGUAAAUGCACAUAGGUCCUAAAAUAAGUAAUUAGACAACUUAAGCCAAGAAAUAAUCACUAAGAGGCCGUGCUAGAACCACGGAACCCGGGAAUGCCUAACACGUUCUCCUGGGUUAACAGAAUUCCUUAUCUAGAAUUUCUGGUUNNNNNNNNNNNNNNNNNNNNNNNNNNNNNNNNNNNNNNNNNNNNNNNNNNNNNNNNNNNNNNNNNNNNNNNNNNNNNNNNNNNNNNNNNNNNNNNNNNNNNNNNNNNNNNNNNNNNNNNNNNNNNNNNNNNNNNNNNNNNNNNNNNNNNNNNNNNNNNNNNNNNNNNNNNNNNNNNNNNACUUCCUCGAUUUGGGAUUUAAAAUAAACCGGUGACUUGGGACACCAUAAUUUAUUCCAAGUGACGACUUUGAUAAAAUAAAUAAUCCCAUUUCGAAUAAUAUCACUUAAAUUGGAAAAACUCCCCUAUAUACCACUCGGGGUAUAAAAAAGGAGGCAUGACAGGUACCGUGUGCUAGUCAAAUAGUCUAGUUAAUAAAUUGUUUAAUUGCACAAGGUAAAUUUUAAUUGAUUUUGAUAUCAUAAAUAUUAGGAUUUCCUAUGUAGUAAUUUAAAUAAGGAAAACUUUAAUAAGCAAACUUUUAAUGGAUUUCAAAGUGCUAAAUAUUAGGAAAAUAAUCCAAUAACUAUUUUGUCUAGUGUAAACUCUAUUUAAAAGGGGUAAAAAAGGUAAACGACAUUUCGCUAAGGAAAUUCGUGUUUUUAAUAUAGUAUAGAUUAUGCUACAUAUAAUGAUUUAGAUAUUUUGACUUAAAGGAUUGAUUGUAUGAAUAUCAAGUAAAUAAGACAUAUAUGUAUACUAGAUGAGAUCAAGCGCGUGCUGAGCAUGCCCCCAACGUUGUGCUUAUGAAGUAGUAGCUUGUAGGUUCUAGCAGGCAAAGGUCAUUUCUACAACCAUCAUUGAUCAUGUAUGACAUGUUUUGAGACAGUAUCAAGAUGAUCUAAUUUUUCUUUAGCUCUAUUUUGCAUAGAGCUAACUCAUCUCGCGCAUCCAACUAAAAGAUAUAUGUGCUUCGAUGGUGUCUGCAAACAUGAAAUUUUAAAUUAUCUGCCAUUAAAAUGUACAACAAUGAGUUAAAACUUUCAUCAUACAAAGAAACGUCCUACUUAUGAAGCAUGAUAACUGAGCUUCUCCAAAAUGAAGCAAAUUGAUGUAAAUUCACAAUGCCCAUCUCAUGGCCUAUGGACCAAAUCUAUUACUCUAAUAUCAAAAAUAGAAAAGAAAUAAUAGUCAACAUUAAUUUAAAUCAAGAUAAAAAUCAUAACAUUUUAUUUUCUAUAUUUCAGAUAUGGGAUUUUCUUGUAACAACAUCAAUUAAAGUACUUACCUUUUUUAUAUGUUCACAUUAGUUAUAAUUAUAACAAUUGAUACCUAAUUCAAAACUUGAUGAUGACAAUGAUUUACAUUUUGAGCUUGUAAAAUUUUUUGAGGGGCUCCAACAACAAAUUCAAAGUAUUUGGACUCUUUUCUCGAAUGAAGCAUCAGAAUUUGGAGAAGGAACAGGGUAUAAUAACCCUAUUGUAUAACAAUCUUUCACCCCUUAGAGGUCUUAAACAUGCAUGCUAAAAGAAGGAGGGUAGUUCGCAAGAUAUUGCAUAAACUAUCACCUUAUCUUGAGUUCCAUAAGUCUAUCAACUUUUUCCAGCGCCCCUCCAUAUACUUAAUAUUCUACAACUUGUUAAGCUUCUUGUUUCAACUUUUAUUCGUGACAUUUUUAUGUUAACACCUCGACACAUAAUUAAAUAUACAUGCUUCAAAAAAGUUGCAAACUUUUUCACUUCAAUCUUUCCUGAAUUAAUUCUUUUUCUCGCCAACUUAAUGGAUCUUCUAAAGUUUCAACCUAUUAAAAAUCCAAUACAGAAUAUACUUUUAUGAUGAAAAGAAAAGGUUAACGGAAAAUUUCAACAUCAAAAGUUAUCAAUUACUGAAAAUUUUAUUGAGCGCAAGAGCCACUAAGUCCAAGCAAACUCUUAUUUUCUUUUGUAAACACAAAGCUUUCAACUCUACACAUGUUUUUCUCUUUUUUUCGGCAAAUAAGACUCUAGAUAUCAGAAUACUAAAAGUUAAAGUAAAAUGAAACAAUAAAAAAUAUAAAAUAGUUGAAAAGAUAUUAAAAAGCUAAAUAUAAAAACCUGAUUAGUAUAGGUCUAUAGGACAAUCUUCCAAUCAAAGCUUUAAAAUUCACAUAAAAAGGGCUACCAACAUAAUAAGAUGAUCUUUUAGGAGUAAUUAAAUGUUGAAACAGUCCAUAAAAAAGUUAAGUUUUUCCAGGUAUCACCCAUUUACGACAUUAAUAAGAUUGAGAAAAAACCAUAAAAUGCAAUAAGAUGAACGUAUGACCUACUUAUGAGAACAUAUCAUAAUGUAUCUGGCAGUCUGGCACUACAGAGACAAACACUGCAACUGCAAGCUAGUAGCAAUUACACGAAGAACUCGAGAAGAGAACCUUCGGGAUAGGGGUUGGAGUAUACCCACAUUUAAAAUAGAAUUAGCUGAGAAGUUUCUUCUACGAAAAGGUUUUCAAAAGGAGUUUUUCCAAUAUAGCUAUGAGAAACCAAAUACAACAUACAAACAAUUACUUAAUAAUAGAUUUUCUAACACUGAACAGUCAUACUCUGACGAAAGUUUGAUUCACUUUCAGAUAAUCAUUAAAUCAUAAACUUAGGAAGUCAUGUUUAAAGAUAGGUCAAAUUAUAAGAAGUCAUAUCUAAAGAUCUCAAAUUUAUCAUAGUAUAGUCAAAAGAAAGAAAGAAAAAGGCUUAAUCAACUCUUAACCGGAAGCUACAAAAGGCCUUUCAAAACAUAUCAGAAAUGGAACGCCAUUGUUACUUGAACACGAAAGCAUGUAUCUACAAGAGCCAAAUAAUAGGAACGUAUCAUAUUCACAUGUCAAACAAAUAUAUCAUUGUUCCCUAAUAUUGGAGAAUGAAGCAGUCAAAUUUACCUUAUAACAAUUUCAUUUCCUUUUCAAACUCUCUUCAAUGGAAAACAAUAAACAAGUUAUUGUUUUUAAUUAUCUGCUAACUCUUCCUCUUUAAAUAAAACAAAAAUUAUUCAUAUCCAAGUUCUGUAGAAAGAAACAACAUAGUUUUUAAGAAUCAUCAAAAUAUUGCAUCCUAACAAUAGUAGGAAAUUUCAUUCACGAAUGAAAAGCAUAAACAUAGUACUCCUAUUAGAUAAUUUUCAAACCAAGGAUUAAAGGAAGAAAAUGACAAAUUCAAGUUUAACAAAUAGACGAAGCAUCCUAACAAAUCAGAAUUUGUCUAGUAAGUAUUUGAAGGAGACAUCACUUAGCAUAAAUAAUAUCAAUAAAUACACUUCAAAGAGAGCAAAUAUUCCCCUUAAUUUUGAUCAUACAUCGAAAAACUCAAAAUUCUAAAUCUGGAAGCCUUGUUUGAAGAAAGUAUCUGGAAUAGUAGAUUUUGCUAAUCUGAUUAUAUAUGAAAUACAUAUGAGUUUUUAAGAUACUUCAUCUGCUCGAUUAAUCUUCCACCGCAAUUACCUAUAUCAUAAAGGAAAAGGUUUAAAACAAAGAGGAGUAAGAGGAAAACUCAAAAUUUGCUUCUAGAGAGAGAAGAGAAUUUGGCCAAUAUAACAUGAAAAAUCAUUAUUCUACCUAAACUAUAAAUUUGCUCUCUAAUUGUUUGCACAACUGAAAGAGUAUUCUCUGGAAUUGGAAGUGAAAGUAUGAAGAAAGAGAAUUGAAGUAGUAGAAGAGAUGGAAAAAUCAGAUGUUUCUAGUCCUAGGUUUAGUGCUUGUGGGAAAAGAAAAUUGUAAAAUUAGUAUGAAAUGACUAUUUUGCCCUUGGUCGACCAUGCUGGCUUUUCUAUAUAAUAAAAAAAAUAUGCAUACAAGAUAUUAAAAAUGUGUAAAGAUCUCAUGUUAAUUUUAUACCAGAACAAUUGAUACGCAUGCGGUGGUAUAAGGAUAUGGGUUGAUACGCAUGUGGUGAGACAAGGUGGGCUAAAACGCGGGUAGCUAUUUUGGGAAAAAUGAUUUUUAAAACUAAAUGUAACGCUCCCGCAGUGAUAUAAGGAAAGAUUGUGAUUUUAAUUGUGAAAUGAGACUACGAGGUGAUACCUCGGUAGUGAUUCUUGUUGCUAUCUUCCAUUUACAUCACUUGUGUCUUAUCUGCAUCGUUUUCUUGGCAUUCUUAUUAUGUGCUCCUUCCGUGAUAUCUUUAUUGUCUUAACUUUCGAUAUAGCUUACCUUGUUGAUUUCUUCAUUAUUUCAUUCCUUGUUUCUAUUAUUAUAUUGUACUAUACAUGUUCAGUUUCUUUAUUUAUUCCAUUAGGUGUCUUGACCUGACCUCGUCACUACUCUACCGAUGUUAUGCUUGAUACUUACUGGGUACCGUUGUGGUGUACUCAUACUACACUUAUGCACAUCUUUUUAUGCAGAUCCAGGUACUUCAUACCAGCUUAGGCAUCCGUGAGUUGAGCUUUGGAUUGAGGACUUCAAAGUAUACCUGCCGGCGUUCGCAAGCCUCAGAGUCACUCUCUAUCUUUGUCUCUUUUCUUCUGUUUACUCU